CACGGCCUAUCAGCUUGUUGGUGAGGUAAUAGCUCACCAAGGCGACGACGGGUAGCCGGCCUGAGAGGGUGACCGGCCACACUGGGACUGGGACACGGCCCAGACUCCUACGGGAGGCAGCAGUGGGGAAUAUUGCACAAUGGGCGAAAGCCUGAUGCAGCGACGCCGCGUGAGGGAUGACGGCCUUCGGGUUGUAAACCUCUUUCAGUAGGGAAGAAGCGAAAGUGACGGUACCUGCAGAAGAAGCGCCGGCUAACUACGUGCCAGCAGCCGCGGUAAUACGUAGGGCGCAAGCGUUAUCCGGAAUUAUUGGGCGUAAAGAGCUCGUAGGCGGUUUGUCGCGUCUGCCGUGAAAGUCCGGGGCUCAACUCCGGAUCUGCGGUGGGUACGGGCAGACUAGAGUGAUGUAGGGGAGACUGGAAUUCCUGGUGUAGCGGUGAAAUGCGCAGAUAUCAGGAGGAACACCGAUGGCGAAGGCAGGUCUCUGGGCAUUAACUGACGCUGAGGAGCGAAAGCAUGGGGAGCGAACAGGAUUAGAUACCCUGGUAGUCCAUGCCGUAAACGUUGGGCACUAGGUGUGGGGGACAUUCCACGUUUUCCGCGCCGUAGCUAACGCAUUAAGUGCCCCGCCUGGGGAGUACGG
RNAcentral lists this ribosomal RNA (643 nucleotides) under uncultured actinomycete. RNAcentral's name for it is "bacterial SSU rRNA". It matches the Rfam family "Bacterial small subunit ribosomal RNA", at positions 232 to 885 of the family's 1533-position model. The record is from RNAcentral. Lineage: Bacteria; Bacillati; Actinomycetota; Actinomycetes; Actinomycetales.